CAGGCCUAACACAUGCAAGUCGAACGGUAACAUAGCUAGCUUGCUAGCUGAUGACGAGUGGCGGACGGGUGAGUAAUGCUUAGGAAUUUGCCUUUGUGUGGGGGACAACAGUUGGAAACGACUGCUAAUACCGCAUAACACCUACGGGUCAAAGGGGGCUUUUAGCUCCCGCGCAAAGAGAAGCUUAAGUGAGAUUAGCUAGUUGGUGGGGUAAGAGCUCACCAAGGCGACGAUCUCUAGCUGGUUUGAGAGGAUGAUCAGCCACACUGGGACUGAGACACGGCCCAGACUCCUACGGGAGGCAGCAGUGGGGAAUAUUGCACAAUGGGGGAAACCCUGAUGCAGCCAUGCCGCGUGUGUGAAGAAGGCCUUCGGGUUGUAAAGCACUUUCAGUGAUGAGGAAAGCCUAGUUGUUAAUACCAGCUAGGUGUGACGUUAGUCACAGAAGAAGCACCGGCUAACUCCGUGCCAGCAGCCGCGGUAAUACGGAGGGUGCGAGCGUUAAUCGGAAUUACUGGGCGUAAAGCGCACGCAGGCGGUUAUAUAAGCCAGAUGUGAAAUCCCCGGGCUCAACCUGGGAAUUGCAUUUGGAACUGUAUGACUAGAAUACGAGAGAGGGUGGUAGAAUUUCAGGUGUAGCGGUGAAAUGCGUAGAGAUCUGAAGGAAUACCGGUGGCGAAGGCGGCCACCUGGCUCGAUAUUGACGCUCAUGUGCGAAAGCGUGGGUAG
RNAcentral lists this ribosomal RNA (729 nucleotides) under uncultured bacterium. RNAcentral describes it as "bacterial SSU rRNA". It matches the Rfam family "Bacterial small subunit ribosomal RNA", at positions 43 to 768 of the family's 1533-position model. The record is from RNAcentral.